AAUCCAUAGGUUAAUGAGGCGAACCGGGGGAACUGAAACAUCUAAGUACCCCGAGGAAAAGAAAUCAACCGAGAUUCCCCCAGUAGCGGCGAGCGAACGGGGAGGAGCCCAGAGCCUGAAUCAGCAUGUGUGUUAGUGGAAGCGUCUGGAAAGGCGCGCGAUACAGGGUGACAGCCCCGUACACAAAAGCGCAUGUGUUGUGAGCUCGAUGAGUAGGGCGGGACACGUGGUAUCCUGUCUGAAUAUGGGGGGACCAUCCUCCAAGGCUAAAUACUCCUGACUGACCGAUAGUGAACCAGUACCGUGAGGGAAAGGCGAAAAGAACCCCGGCGAGGGGAGUGAAAAAGAACCUGAAACCGUGUACGUACAAGCAGUGGGAGCACAGGUUUACCUGUGUGACUGCGUACCUUUUGUAUAAUGGGUCAGCGACUUAUAUUCUGUAGCAAGGUUAACCGUAUAGGGGAGCCGGAGGGAAACCGAGUCUUAAU
This 488-nucleotide ribosomal RNA is filed under the name Salmonella enterica. RNAcentral's name for it is "partial 23S ribosomal RNA". It matches the Rfam family "Bacterial large subunit ribosomal RNA", at positions 161 to 688 of the family's 2925-position model. RNAcentral also lists the same sequence under 1 other name. Lineage: Bacteria; Pseudomonadati; Pseudomonadota; Gammaproteobacteria; Enterobacterales; Enterobacteriaceae. The record is from RNAcentral.